AGGAAGAGAAAGAAAGAUCGAUUUCCUGAGUAGUGGCGAUCGAAAGGGAAAGAGCCCAAACCGGAGUUGUUACGGCAAUACCGGGGUAGUAGGAGCACCCAAAGGAAUAUGUUUUCCGAACUGGAACUGUCUGGAAAGUCAGACCGCAGACGGUGAAAGUCCGGUACGGGUAAGGAGAGCAUAUCAGGGGUGCCACCUGAGUAGGGCGGGACACGUGAAAUCCUGUCUGAAUCCGCGGGGACCAUCCCGCAAGGCUAAAUACUCGCAGAAGACCGAUAGUGUACCAGUACCGUGAGGGAAAGGUGGGAAGCACCCCGCGCAGGGGAGUGAAACAGAACCUGAAACCGUUCGUUUACAAGCGGUCGGAGCUUUUAUUAGUAAGAGCGACGGCGUGCCUUUUGGAUAAUGAGCCUACGAGUUGUACCUGUCCGGCGAGGUUAAGUCCUUCAGGGACGUGAGCCGAAGCGAGAGCGAGUCUUAAUAGGGCGCUAUGAGUCGGUCGGGACAGACGCGAAACCUAGUGAUCUACCCAUGAGCAGGAUGAAGUUGCCGUAACAGGCAGUGGAGGUCCGCACCAGUUUCCGUUGAAAAGGGCUUGGAUGACUUGUGGGUAGGGGUGAAAGGCUAAUCAAACUGGGAGAUAGCUCGUACUCCCCGAAAUGUCUUUAGGGACAGCCUCACAACAGUUUAUCGGAGGUAGAGCGACUGAUAGGAUGCGAGGGCUUCAUCGCCUGUCAAUUCCUGACAAACUCCGAAUGCCGGUAAAUGAUUUGUGGGAGUGAGUCGUCGGGUGCUAAUGUCCGGCGGCGAGAGGGAAACAGCCCAGACCUUCGGUUAAGGCCCUUAAGCGUGGUUUAAGUUUUCAGAACGUGGUGACAUCGCAGAGACAGCUAGGAUGUUAGCUUGGAAGCAGCUAUUCAUUUAAAGAGUGCGUAACAGCUCACUAGUCGAGCGAUGAUGCGUGGAUAAUGAGCGGGAAUGAAGACCACCGCCGAAACCAAGGACUCAUGCAAGUGAUUGCGUGAUUGGUAGGGGAGCAUUCCGAACGGCGUUGAAGGUGAAGCGUGAGCUUUGCUGGAGCGUUCGGAAACGCAAAUGUAGGCAUAAGUAACGACAAUGAAUGCAAAACCAUUCACACCGCAAACCCAAGGUUUCCUCAGCUACGUCAAACGUCUGAGGGUCAGUCGGGGGCUAAGGAGGACCCGAGAGGGGUAUCCGAUGACAAACCGGUUAAUAUUCCGGUACCGGCCGUACAGGUGAGGACGAGACCGAGAAGUGACACUGCCGCGUGCUGACGGAAUAGCACGUUGAAGGCCGUAGGCGAAAGCUGAAAGCUGACAGUACCGCAAGGCUUCGGCUGCGCGGACAGAGCAGGUAAACAGACUUGCAAGAAAAUCGUCCGAACGUCAAGCGUACGGGUGCCCGUACCGUAAACCGACACAGGUGGGUGAGGAGAGAAUCCUCAGGUGCUCGAGUGAAUCAUGGCUAAGGAACUAGGCAAAUUGACCCCGUAACUUCGGGAUAAGGGGACCCAGAGAUGGGCGCAGAGAAAUGGCUCAGGCGACUGUUUACCAAAAACACAUGGCUAUGCGAAAUCGCAAGAUGACGAAUAUGGCCUGACACCUGCCCGGUGACGGAAGGUUAAGAGGGGGAGUCACGCAAGGAAGCUCCGAAUCGAAGCCCCGUUAAACGGCGGCCGUAACUAUAACGGUCCUAAGGUAGCGAAAUUCCUUGUCGGGUAAGUUCCGACCUGCACGAAUG
Molecule: ribosomal RNA, 1761 nt
Filed under: gut metagenome
Description: bacterial LSU rRNA
Rfam family: Bacterial large subunit ribosomal RNA
Source: RNAcentral